Molecule: ribosomal RNA, 507 nt
Filed under: Harengula jaguana (scaled sardine)
Lineage: Eukaryota; Metazoa; Chordata; Actinopteri; Clupeiformes; Clupeidae
Description: partial 12S ribosomal RNA
Rfam family: Bacterial small subunit ribosomal RNA
Source: RNAcentral
GCCCCGCCGUAAACUUAGAUGUCAGACUACAAUAGACAUCCGCCUGGGGACUACGAGCGCCAGCUUAAAACCCAAAGGACUUGGCGGUGCUUCAGACCCCCCUAGAGGAGCCUGUUCUAGAACCGAUAACCCCCGUUCAACCUCACUAUUUCUUGCCCCUCCCGCCUAUAUACCGCCGUCGCCAGCUUACCCUGUGAAGGAGAAAAAGUAAGCAGGAUGGGCAUAGCCCAGAACGUCAGGUCGAGGUGUAGCGUAUGAAAUAGGAAGAAAUGGGCUACAUUAUCUGAGCCAGAUGACUACGGAGAGUCGCCUGAAACCUGGCGAUUCGAAGGUGGAUUUAGCAGUAAGGGGAGAAUAGAGCGCCCCCCUGAAGCCGGCUCUGAAGCGCGCACAUACCGCCCGUCACUCUCCCCAACAGCACAGCACCUAGUAACUAACACAAUAUUAGCUACAAGGGGAGGCAAGUCGUAACAUGGUAAGUGUACCGGAAGGUGCACUUGGAACAAC